UAGAGGAGUGGUCCCGCGGGGGGGUCUCCGGGCGGCGGCGCGGGCCUGGGCUUCCUCUCCUCCCCUCGCCCGGCUCACCAGAAUUCUGGCAACCCGCAAACUAGGUGCCGCGGGGAGACCUAUGGGCCCGUAGGGGUGACAUCACCUGCCCCCCCAGGAUCUCUAAGCGCAAUUGGAAGGGUUGGUGAGGCUGCCAGGCCCCUCCCCGAGGCAAGCCUGAGGGGCGGCGCUGAUAGGGUUAAUGUCCUGUGCCCGUGGGAAGGCUUGGCAGCCUGGGACUCCUGCCUUCCAAACCUGAAGACUGCCUCCUCAUCUAUUUAAACACCCUUGACCUAAGAACGGAGCAGUUCAGGAGCAGCGGCUGGAACAAGGAGAUGCAACGUGAAAUGCUUUCACCAUCAACCCCAAUCUGUCAGAACAGCAGGGAAGUUUUCCUGUGGAGAGACAGCCCUGAUUCAGCUAAGAGCAGACCUGCAUCUGCACCUCCAGGCACUGAAUCAGCACCCAUUCACCGCCUCCUCCAAGCUGCCACUAACCACGUGCUCACUGUCUACUCCAUUGGGCCAACACUGUCCACCUUCCUGGGCCAGAAGGGCUUGGCUGGCAAUGAGGAACUAAAUGGGAAGGAGAUACAUCCCAUUCUGAAGACUGAGAACUCUGAGAGGGUUGGAACCACGUCUUUCUUGAUUGCCACCAUAAACUCAGCACCUUGCACAAAUACUGGUUUCAAUGAAUGAAUAUGCAAAUGAAUAAAUGAAUGACCAAAUAUGUUUCUGGUCACAAGGAACCGGGAAUGAGGGAGUACAGAUGCUCCAGCAAGCCCAGCUCCACCAAAUGGAAAAAGAGCUGGGAUGUCAUGUCUAGGAUGGCCACACUCUCUGGAGAGAUUCAGAAAAAACAACAGGACCCUAGGAUAGGAUCUGGAACAGGAGAACUGCUGCUGCUCCGAUUAAUUCUCUAACUACUCUCACAAAACCCCAAUUAAAAAUUCCCAGAGGCACAGGCUUCCUUGCUAAGCAGCUGGCAUUCGGUGCUGUACUCCUUUUUAUCCAAUCAGACUUCAACACGGAAAUGGAAUAGAAAUCCAGAAAUGGUUCAGCCCAUCAAGGGAACUUUGGUCUCAAUUCUCAGAGUCCUUCUCCUAGGCCUGUCCCAAAUUUGCAAUCAAUUUGUUUAUAGGGGAAGCAGGCAAAUUGUAGCUCUUUCCCAGCGAAAAGCAGCCCCAGAGUGCAUGCCUGUCCCAUCUCUCCCCCGUCUUGGAGGGUGGCAACGUAGAGAGCCUGAGAAAGAAGAUGCUCAUGGCCUGGAGUGAUGCUGAAGCCGUCACCCACCAGAUCGCAGGGAAUGGCUUCGAUGCACCUCUCCAACCAGAGGUUAGCUAAGACCCCUGUGCCACCUCUCAAGAGAAGGAAGAAAAUUGGGAUAUCAGCUCUAGGUUCUGCCUCACCCAACCCCCUUCCCAAAUUUCCAUGUGUCUGCUGCCCUGAGAUUAAAGAAGAGCACCAGUACACCCAGAACGUUCUGGAAAAUUCUCUGUUCAGUGCUCUGCAAAGGGUGAGAGGCCCUUGAGGAAGAUAAACACCACUUAGAGAGGAUUAAGACAUUUCCUUUCCCAGAGAAGGACAUUGCCAUUUUGAGAAACCGCAAAGAGGAAGGACAGACAGACUCCAAGGAAUUUUGGUUCCCCUGCAGUGCAACCUGGCACCAGCAUUUUCCGAUGUGGUGGGGAUUAUCUAAUCUCCAGAGCGGCUCUUUCACAAAGGCUGCCCCAGCCCUAUCCCGCCAAGGCUCGGCUGAGUAUUGUGAGGAGCACUUUAAGGAGAACCAUUUCAGAGUCGCUAGGAAACAAGGUCCUUAUCUCACACUCUGGGCAGGACCUCAGGGUGGAGACAGGGAUGGCUGGGGGCCCCCCCACCCCCAGUGCUGCAGCAGCCUCAGCACCAUGUUGGAUGAUUUCAAGCCUUUGUCCCAUCCACCCCUUCCAGGGUCAGCCCCAAGCCUGAUUUCUAGUCAGACAAGCCAGAGACGGAAGACACUAUCCCUUUGUUUCCUAAUGCCCCUGAAAUCUCAAGCUCUAAGAGCCUUCUUAGAUGUAGGCCAUGACUCAGAUGAAACCUGGUUCUGCACUCCAAGCCCUCUCUCGAGGCCCAGAAUCUUCCAGACAAGUCAUUGCCCAAUCCCCACCGAGUUAUUUUCCAGGUUCCUAUUUCUGUCUGAUUGUGCAAGUUUCUUUCCUCCUGAAAGCCACAUGUUCAUCACAUGUCACCAGCAGAGGGGGGAAGGGUGCUGGGAAGAGUCCUCUUUCCUGGACCCCAUGUUGAUCCCCAGAGCCUGGGAUAGCGGCUCUCCACCUGUUAUCUCUCAGGGAGCUUGGGGCCACCCAGAGGAGAAGACCAAUGCAAGCCUAAAGGAGAACCAGACUCGGUUUGCCAUUUCCUCAGUUCUUUAUGCAAGUGGUCCCUGCACAUGGGCUCUGUGUCAGGCAGCCCCCGGUGGAAGACGGUAGCAACCAUGCCACACAGUCCAGGAAGGGCCUGGUGCCUCUUAUACUGACCAGCUGGACCUGGGCUCCUGAACAUCUCUGCCCCUUGGAUCCCUGGCUCUUUGGGUCAAAUGCACCCUACUGACUGUCAGAUCAAAGCCAUGCUGGGGGCUACUGAGAUGGAAACCUUUGCUGCUGCUGCACCUGGCCAGUGAGAACCUCGACACUGAGGGUUAGCUUGUUGGGGGCUGUUGGUUUCUUCCUUAGGGAAGGCUGAGCUGUUUUUUCUGGGUUGCUUUUUGUACACGUAAUCCUAUUUGCCUCCUGCCACUACUAACCACAGAUGAGGAAGCUGCCACAGAGAAGCUCUGGCCUCUGGGGAUCCUGGUUCCCUACUGCUCUCUCAUGGAAGCCACACGUGCAACUGUACACGCAAGUAGGCCAACAAGGAAGACUGACAUCCUUCCUGCAAACACCACUACCCACAACAUUAGUAAUGCUAGGUCUGGGCCCUGGGACCUUUCUCCAUCUCCCCGUUUUGCAAAACCAGGCUGCAGAUCAGACCAUGCCUCACAUUGCUGCCCCCACCCUUUCCCCAUUUUCAUGCCACUUUCUUUGUUCUCACCCAUCACUGCCCCCCCUCCCUUUCCCUCACAAAUUUAUUCCCUCCCUCACCUCUCCUGUUCAAAUGCACAAACCAGGCAUUGCCAAAGUUACAAGAUAAACUAUGUAUAACCCCCUAUUGGCCAAAGUUCACAUACCUUACACCGUGUAACCUCCUGAUUGGCAAAAGGCCCUAUAAAAAGAAAUCCCACUACCCAACUGCGCGCUUUCCCCUCGGAGCAGCCUUUCUGCCGACGGGGGCUGCCCUGAGGCUUCUCUCAAAUAAAACUUUUCUUUGAUACCUGCCCAUUUGGCUUCGCUGCCCAUCUUUCGAACCAAACUACCUUAAAAGUACAAAUGAGCACAUCUACCCAAGGCAGAGCUUCUUUCAGAGCCUGGCUUUCAGAACCAGAAAGGAAGAGGUUCAUGCCUUGCAGAGGAAGCGCUCGGCCCAGAUGGAGGCACCAACUUCUGUUGCUUACUUCCCAUCUGGCUGGUCUCAUCCUGCAAGCUAAGUUCAAGUGCAAUGCAAUGUUCUUCCAAGGGGGCUGGUGAAGGGGUGAAAGCUUGAGCUAGGAGUGGACAGGGUCACAGACAACUUGUCCUGGAAAAGAAAACUUCUCUCCAACUCCACAGGUGGUGGGAAGAUGAAGCUCACCAAGGUGCUGCUAUGAAGAACACCCAAGCUGUUGGCUCUGAAGCCACACUGCAAUUAGCACCCUGUCAUUUGCUCAUUUGUAUGCAUUUCACAUGUCAUCAAAAGCCAGCACUGAAGGUGUGAAGUGUAUAGGCUGUU
Choloepus didactylus (southern two-toed sloth) is the source of this 3881-nucleotide long non-coding RNA. RefSeq lists it as uncharacterized. Lineage: Eukaryota; Metazoa; Chordata; Mammalia; Pilosa; Megalonychidae. The record is from RefSeq and is a predicted model, not a curated record. The transcript is spliced from 3 exons.